UACCUGCAGCUCAAGUGGUGGCCGCUAUUAUUGGGCCUAAAACGUCCGUAGCCUGUUUAGUAAAUGCUUGGGUAAAUUGUAUAGCUUAACUAUACGAAUACCGAGUAGACUGCUAGACUUGGGACCGGGAGAGGCUAGAGGUACUCCUGGGGUAGAGGUGAAAUUCUGUAAUCCUAGGGGGACCACCAGUGGCGAAGGCGUCUAGCUAGAACGGGUCUGACGGUGAGGGACGAAGCCCUGGGGCGCAAACCGGAUUAGAUACCCGGGUAGUCCAGGGUGUAAACGCUGCUUGCUUGAUGUUAGUUGGGCUCCGAGCCCAACUAGUGUCGGAGAGAAGUUGUUUAGCAAGCUGCCUGGGAAGUACGGUCGCAAGACUGAAACUUAAAGGAAUUGGCGGGGAGCACAGCAACGGGUGGAGCGUGCGGUUU
RNAcentral lists this ribosomal RNA (428 nucleotides) under uncultured archaeon. Its description in RNAcentral is "bacterial SSU rRNA". It matches the Rfam family "Archaeal small subunit ribosomal RNA", at positions 474 to 903 of the family's 1478-position model. The record is from RNAcentral.